AUGUACAAUAAUGUUGUGACAAGUGUUCGAACAAGUGAUGUCGACACCGAUGACUUCCCUAUUAAGAUAGGACUGCACCAGGGGUCAGCUUUGAGCCCUUAUCUUUUUGCAUUGGUGAUGGAUGAGGUCACAAGGGGUAUACAAGGAGAUAUCCCAUGGUGUAUGCUCUUUGCGGAUGAUGUGGUGCUAGUUGACGAUAGUCGGACGGGGGUAAAUAGGAAGUUAGAGUUAUGGAGACAAACCUUGGAAUCGAAAGGAUUUAGGCUUAGUAGAACUAAAACCGAGUACAGGAUGUGCAGUUUCAGUACUACUAGCUGUGAGGAGGAGGAGGUUAGCCUUGAUGGCCAGGUGGUACCUCGGAAGGACACCUUUCGGUAUUUGGGGUCAAUGUUGUAG
Molecule: ribosomal RNA, 396 nt
Filed under: Triticum aestivum (bread wheat)
Lineage: Eukaryota; Viridiplantae; Streptophyta; Magnoliopsida; Poales; Poaceae
Description: partial small subunit ribosomal RNA
Source: RNAcentral